Molecule: ribosomal RNA, 497 nt
Filed under: uncultured bacterium
Lineage: Bacteria
Description: partial 16S ribosomal RNA
Rfam family: Bacterial small subunit ribosomal RNA
Source: RNAcentral
GAUGAACGCUGGCGGCGUGCCUAAUACAUGCAAGUCGAGCGAACAGAUGAGGAGCUUGCUCCUCUGACGUUAGCGGCGGACGGGUGAGUAACACGUGGAUAACCUACCUAUAAGACUGGGAUAACUUCGGGAAACCGGAGCUAAUACCGGAUAAUAUAUUGAACCGCAUGGUUCAAUAGUGAAAGACGGUUUUGCUGUCACUUAUAGAUGGAUCCGCGCCGCAUUAGCUAGUUGGUAAGGUAACGGCUUACCAAGGCAACGAUGCGUAGCCGACCUGAGAGGGUGAUCGGCCACACGGGAACUGAGACACGGUCCAGACUCCUACGGGAGGCAGCAGUAGGGAAUCGUCCGCAAUGGGCGAAAGCCUGACGGAGCAACGCCGCGUGAGUGAUGAAGGUCUUCGGAUCGUAAAACUCUGUUAUUAGUGAAGAACAAAUGUGUAAGUAACUAUGCACGUCUUGACGGUACCUAAUCAGAAAGCCACGGCUAACUACGUG